Molecule: long non-coding RNA, 1545 nt
Filed under: Marmota monax (woodchuck)
Lineage: Eukaryota; Metazoa; Chordata; Mammalia; Rodentia; Sciuridae
Source: RNAcentral
UUUACACCAACAACCCAACUAUCAAUAAAUUUAGGAAUAGCUAUCCCUCUAUGAGCAGGAGCAGUAAUUACCGGAUUUCAUCACAAGACUAAAGCAUCAUUAGCCCACUUUCUCCCACAAGGAACCCCAAUCCUACUUAUUCCCAUACUUAUUAUUAUCGAAACAAUCAGCCUUUUCAUUCAACCUAUAGCAUUAGCCGUACGACUAACAGCUAAUAUUACAGCUGGUCAUCUUCUUAUACAUUUAAUUGGAGGAGCAACCCUUGUAUUAACAUCUAUUAGCCCUCCUACAGCUAUUUUAACUUUCAUCAUUCUUGUGUUAUUAACAAUGCUCGAAUUUGCAGUUGCACUAAUUCAAGCUUAUGUCUUCACUCUCCUAGUAAGCUUAUAUUUACACGAUAAUACUUAAUGACCCACCAAACCCACGCCUACCAUAUAGUCAACCCCAGCCCCUGACCCUUAACAGGAGCCCUCUCCGCCUUACUUCUAACAUCUGGCUUAGUAAUAUGAUUUCACUUCAAUUCCUCUUUUAUCCUCACACUAGGCCUAACAGCUAAUACCCUUACAAUAUAUCAAUGGUGACAAGACAUUGUACGAGAAGGCACAUUUCAAGGUCACCAUACAUCAAUUGUCCAAAAAGGCUUACGAUAUGGUAUAGUACUAUUUAUUAUCUCAGAAGUAUUCUUUGCCGGGUUCUUCUGAGCAUUCUACCAUUCUAGUCUGGCCCCAACUCCCGAACUGGGCAGCUGCUGACCUCCAGUAGGGAUCAACCCACUUAACCCCUUAGAAGUACCACUAUUAAAUUCCUCUGUUCUUUUAGCUUCAGGAGUCUCAAUUACCUAAGCUCAUCACAGCCUGAUAGAAGGAGACCGAAAACAUAUAGUUCAAGCUUUAUCAAUUACAAUUGCUUUAGGACUUUACCCUUCUCCAAGCCUCUGAAUAUCUAGAGACAUCCUUUACAAUUUCAGAUGGCGUAUACGGCUCAACAUUUUUUAUAGCUACAGGUUUCCAUGGUCUCCAUGUCAUUAUUGGAUCAACUUUCCUCCUAGUAUGUCUCAUUCGUCAACUAAACUUUCACUUUACAUCAAAUCACCAUUUUGGAUUUGAAGCAGCCGCAUGAUACUGACAUUUCGUAGAUGUCGUAUGACUUUUCCUCUAUCUAUUUAUUGAUGAGGCUCAUAUUCUCUUAGUAUUAAUUAGUACAAUUGACUUCCAAUCAUUUAGUUCUGGAACUAACCCAGAAGAGAAUAAUAAACCUUAUAGUAACCCUCUUUGUAAACUCUUCUAUUGCUCUACUACUAAUCUCCGAAGCAUUUUGAUUGCCUCAACUAAACGUAUAUGCUGAAAAGGCAAGCCCUUACAAAUGUGGUUUUGAUCCCAUAGGAUCUGCUCGCUUACCAUUUUCAAUAAAAUUUUUCCUUGUUGCAAUCACAUUUCUUCUAUUUGACUUAGAAAUUGCUCUUCUUCUCCCCCUCCCCUGAGCUUCCCAAACAAAUAAUCUUAGCCUUAUAUUAACUAUAGCCUUACUCUUAAUCUUAAUUCUUAC